UCAAAUACUCUCCAUACUUCAGAGACCGAAUGCUACAGCCACAUGUUCUGACACUAACCCGAAGACGCCAAUGUCCUCAACAAAAGUACCUCAAGAAUCUGAUACCUGCAAAAACAUUAAAGUGGAGCCUAUAUCACCGAGAGCAGCAUCUAGAGAUUCACUUCCCCAGCAGUUCAUGGUCCGAGAAACCUCACCGGCCAAGACAACUGCACGCACAAUGACUCAUCUGAACUCGUCCUCUCCGAGUUUUGACCUUGGAAUAUAAAAAACCCCAAUAUCUCAUUUUACGUAAGUUCUGUGUAACUUUUUCUUUUAUGAAAUGAACUAUAUGGAAACAAAGUUAUGUAGCUUUAUGUAUAUCCGACUGAAAAAAACAGGACGAACUAGAUCUUAAUGGUCUGUCCAAAGUUCAACAACUCAGUCUGAUCAUUACUUAUAGCUCAGUUUCGUCCGGGUGUGGUUUUAUGAACCAAAUUUCAAAGACAUCAUAAUGUUAAAAGGCGAAA
Long non-coding RNA from Brassica oleracea var. oleracea, 506 nucleotides. RefSeq lists it as uncharacterized. The record is from RefSeq and is a predicted model, not a curated record. The transcript has 2 exons. Lineage: Eukaryota; Viridiplantae; Streptophyta; Magnoliopsida; Brassicales; Brassicaceae.